AUUUCCAGGAAGUGACCUCACAAAGACUCAAGCUACCACUUACUGUUGAUUGUGAUGAAAUGCCAGCUGAGGCACACGCCUUGGGAGCUAAGUGGUUGCUGCCCUUGACUACUAUGAAGACUGGUGUGGGAAGGGUCGCUUUGGAUGCACUUGAGCAGGGGUCCCCAACCCCUGAGCCAUGGAGCCGUAAGGAGCCACACAGCAGGUGAGUGGUGUCGAGUGAGGGAGUGAGGGAAGCUUCGUCUGUAUUUACAGCCACUCCCCUUUGCUCACAUUCCCGCCUGAGCUCCACCUUCUCAGAUGAGCAGCAGCAUUAGAUUCUCAUAGGAGAACGCACCCUGUUGUGAACCGUGCAUGUGAGGGAUCUAGGUUGCGCUGUGCUUAUGAGAAUCUAAUACCUAUUGAUCUGUCACUUUCCCCCAUCACGCUCAGGUGGGACCAUCCAGUUUCAGGAAAACAAGCUUAACACGCCCACUGAUUCUACAUUAUGCUCCUACCUCCCGGCAGCCUCGCCAGGCCCAGAACUCUCUCCAGUCAGCCUCUACAGACCAAGCUCAUGACUCACAAUGGCCUAUUUAGGCCCAUACCCUACCUCACGGCAGUCUCCGCAGAUGAGCCUACUGCCUCACAACAGCCUCCACAGGCACAGCUCCAUCGUUACAAUGGCCUCUUUAGACCCAGCUCCUGCCUCCCAGCCUUCUCUCCAGGCCCUGAACUUUCUCCGUGGGACCAUCCAGUUUCAGGAAAACAAGCUUAACACGCCCACUGAUUCUACAUUAUGCUCCUACCUCCCGGCAGCCUCGCCAGGCCCAGAACUCUCUCCAGUCAGCCUCUAGAGACCAAGCUCAUGACUCACAAUGGCCUAUUUAGGCCCAUACCCUACCUCACGGCAGUCUCCGCAGAUGAGCCUACUGCCUCACAACAGCCUCCACAGGCACAGCUCCAUCGUUACAAUGGCCUCUUUAGACCCAGCUCCUGCCUCCCAGCCUUCUCUCCAGGCCCUGAACUUUCUCCGUGGGACCCUCCAGUUUCAGGAAAACAAGCUUAACACGCCCACUGAUUCUACAUUAUGCUCCUACCUCCCGGCAGCCUCGCCAGGCCCAGAACUCUCUCCAGUCAGCCUCUACAGACCAAGCUCAUGACUCACAAUGGCCUAUUUAGGCCCAUACCCUACCUCACGGCAGUCUCCGCAGAUGAGCCUACUGCCUCACAACAGCCUCCACAGGCACAGCUCCAUCGUUACAAUGGCCUCUUUAGACCCAGCUCCUGCCUCCCAGCCUUCUCUCCAGGCCCUGAACUUUCUCCGGUCUCCCUCUGUUAUCUGAGGCUGGAGGGUAGUAGUGCUAUCGCAGCUGACUGCAGCCUCAACCUUCCAGGCUGAAGCGAUCCUCCCAUCUCAACCUCCCACGUGGCUGAGACUACAGGUGCUUGCCACUACGCCCAACUAAUAUUUGGUAUUUUCGUACACGUGGAUUCCAGAGGGGUGACAGCGAAACGUGGGACCAUCCAGUUUCAGGAAAACAAGCUUAACACGCCCACUGAUUCUACAUUAUGAUUCUUCAGGCCCAGCAUCUGCCUCACUGUGGACCCCCCAAGCCAAGCUCCCAACCUUUCAGCAGCUUCUACACACCCAGCUCCCGCCUGCCAGUGGCCUCUUCAGGCCCAUGGGGCUCAUUCCUCACAACAGCCUUUCCAGUCCCAGUUUUUCCCUUCCGGCGGCCUCUCCGGGCUGAGAACCUCCUCAAGUCGGCCUCUCCAGACUCACUUGCACCCUCCAGGCGUCCUCUCCGGGCCAAGCUCCUCUUCCUGGCUGCGUCUCCAGGCCUGACUCCUGCCUCUCAACAACCUCUUUGGACUCAGUGCCUACCCAUCUCCUGGCAUCCUUGGUCGGCCCACAGCUUCCUCAAGCCAAGCUCCCCAGGCCCAGGUCAGGCCUCACGGUGCCCCCUCCACGAUGAGCUCCUGCCCUCCAAUGGCACCUGCAGGACCCAAAUGGUCUCCGGUCGGUGGGCUCCUCCACGCCAAGCUUGGGCCUCCCGGUGACCUCUGCAGGCCCAAAUUGUCCUGAAGUCGGCAUCUCCCAGCCAUGCCUCCCAGCAAGUAAGCAAGCUCUUUUGGCUCAACUCCUGCCCAGCUCCCAACCGCCUUUGUAGGUCCCGAACUUUCUCCAGCCAAGUUCUUUGGGCCUCAUUCCUGCCGCCCGGUGGCCUGUACGGGCCCAGCAAUGGUUGGAGAACGGCCUCUGCAGGUCCCGCUCUUGCCUCCCAGGGGCCUCUCCAGGCCCAGCUCUUGCCCCCACGGCGGCCA
Long non-coding RNA from Gorilla gorilla gorilla (western lowland gorilla), 2307 nucleotides. RefSeq lists it as uncharacterized. The transcript has 9 exons. The record is from RefSeq and is a predicted model, not a curated record. NCBI's taxonomy places the organism in Eukaryota, Metazoa, Chordata, Mammalia, Primates, Hominidae.